UCCGCCCACCGCGCUGCGCCCGCCCCGCCGCCCUGCCGCGCAGCAGCCGCGCCUCAAGCCUGCAUGGUGACGCCGCUCAGGCUCUGGCUUAUUUCUAGAUCUGGUUACUUGUAGAUUUAGAAGAUUUCUAAUCGUCCAGUCUCCCUGUACUCAGCACCGGUCAGGCCGCACCUCGAAUCCAGUGUUCAGUUCAGUUCCCUGAAUGCAGGAAGAACACUUGGGUGCUGAAGCGAGACCAGAGAAGGGCAGCAGAGCUGCAGGAAGCCGGACCAGUAAAUCUGAGUGGAUGAUUAGCAGCAGUUGGUAGCAGUAACCUCAUCAGCACUGCAGAGACAGCCAGAAGAAGACACAGAGUGUCUUUUUUACCUUUAAGUGCAAAGAAUGGAAGAUUGCCGCUAAUCCUGGACAGAGUCAGGGGGUCGUAGACGACUGGUUCUGGGUAACAAAAGAGAGGUUAUAGAGAAUGAUUACUUCAGAAUUUUCAGCCAGAACAGGAUCAUCAGGAGCUACUCCUAGCUCUCUCUAAACACCAGGAGCUGUUCACUGGAAGAACUGUAUGAUCAUGCCUGGAAGGUUUACUGCAUGAUCACCUGUUCCCAUCCCAUACCCAUCAGGGACAGUGGAAUCCCAAGUAGUCAGGGAGAGUGUACCUUUAAUUCAGGAGAGCUGGAGAUUGAUCUCUGCUACCACCUUGAAGCACGGCUGGGCAAACCUUUCCCAUAAAUCUUCACAGCUCCAGAUCUGGCCUUCUCCUUCAGCCAGCAGACCCUGUCCAGAGGAUCACCUGGACCAUAUCCCAGGCACCCUGGCCUUGGUACACACUUGAGGCCCCUGGAACAGUUCUGACUGCUUUGGUAUCUAAAAUCUUCCUUAAGAACUGUUUUUUUUCCUUGUCUUUUGGGAAAAGACAAGCUGUGUUGAUUCAGCUUAGGAGGAGUUCCUCUUUCUUCUGUGCAUAUGUUGUUUUUCCUUUGUGUUGCAAGCUGCAGAAGGGCAUUUCAAGAGCUUUUACUGAUCUGUGGAAAGCAGUGAAACUUAGAGGGCUACGGAUGCAUGCCAGACUGCAGGAACCAUAGCUUCACUCUGGCAGCAAUUCAUCUUCCAUACCAGUGACUGCUGACACAGAUGACCACAUUGUUCAGGUUUGUUAAGGUCAUAAGCAAAUCCAAAAGUUGAGAAAUCAGGGUCCCAUAUUAACCUUUAGGAGUUACCACACAACAGGUUGUACAUCUUGUAUUGCUGUGGUUUAUUAAAAAAACCCACCAACCAACUCCAAAACCCAAUCAACUCUACCCUUCCUCCUUUUUGUGUGAUUUUGGCUAAAUCUUAAAAAUUUCAUUUCAAGUUAUGCUGCCGAGGAUUGCUGUGAAAAACAUUAAUUCUGUAACUCAGAAAUUUGAACUGGGCAUAAACUGAAAUGUGCGGUUGAAGUUUGAAAGGAGCUGGGAGUCCAUGUUGUAAACUUUCAAGGACAUAGUUUAGCCUGUAACUACCACAGGGAAACAACUACAUCCCAAAUUUAAAUGACUGCAAAUGAAAAUAUUGGAUUCAACCUGAGAUUGCGGGUCUUGAAAUUCUAUAUUAUUUUUCAUCUGUUUUAAACCUACACAGUAAUACAAAUAUUUUAUUAACAGAUGGAAAAACCCUUUCAAAUGAACUUCCUCAGCAGUAGCUGUGUUCAGCAGUAAGAUCUAGCUUGGUUAUCUGCAGAAAAGAAUUGCAAAACUUACAAGUUCAGGAAGCUUCCAGCCCAAAGAAGUACAAAAGCACAACUGGCAGCAGCAAAGAAAUGGCAAAGAAUAGAGGCUAAGCAGUUUCAUCUCCAAUUUUUACAGUCAUGUUCUGGUUAUUCUUACAAUUGAAACAGUGGAUAUAUUUUUGUGUCUCAGUGAUGUUUAUGCUCCAAUCUAUUCAUGACACAUUUUUACUUUUUGUUCUCUUUUUCUAUUCCCUGAUUAGGCCUCCCCUGUCCCUUUCCAUUCUACACUCUCUGACUUCUGCUUAGAUACCAUUUCCUUUGAUGGAAUUCCGCAUGCUUUCUCUGUAAUAACCAGUAUUUUCAGUUAAAUAAUUCAGAUAGUUAAAACAUGGAUUCAUGACAUUGUGUUAUCCAUUUUUACUUCUGUCCACCCUCUGUCCUAUCUAUUUGUACAUUGUCAGAAUCUGAAAGAAAAAUGUUAUGCACACAUUGCCAGACUUAGGGUGCUACAAGUCACUAGCAAUGAUAUAUUCCUUCAAAUGAAUACUCUGCCUUGUAAAUAAAGGUAUUUGAAUCCUA
Molecule: long non-coding RNA, 2278 nt
Organism: Cyanistes caeruleus (blue tit)
Lineage: Eukaryota; Metazoa; Chordata; Aves; Passeriformes; Paridae
Source: RefSeq, a predicted model, not a curated record